Molecule: long non-coding RNA, 974 nt
Filed under: Homo sapiens (human)
Lineage: Eukaryota; Metazoa; Chordata; Mammalia; Primates; Hominidae
Description: long non-coding RNA NONHSAT206667.1
Source: RNAcentral
GCGUGAGCCACUGUGCCUGGCCACAUUUGGGUCUGUUUCUGAACUUUCUCUUCUGUUCCAUUGGGCUAUUCAUGUGCCAUUCAGUACUAAUUACCGAGGCCUUAUGAUGAGUUUUAAAGGCUGGGGAGACCAAUCCCUCCUCAUUUUUCUUCUGUUUUAGAGUUUUCCUGGGCUAUGCUUGCUUGUUUUUUUUUUUUUUUUUAAUGCAUCUGUUUGUCUACUUCUGAAGGAAGGAAACUUGCCAGGAGAUUUUAAGAGAUUGUGUUAAAUUUGUAUAUUUGUUUAUGGAAGACUCAAAUAUUUAUAAUAUAUUUGUUUUCUUCUUUAAAACAGUGAUUUUUGAAGAAAUCUGGCAGACAUUACCUUACCAAGUAAGAGAAAUUAUCAUUCACAACUAUGGGAUUAACUAGUAUCAGGCACUGCUAUGGUUUGAAUGUAUAAUGGGUCCCUCCAAAAUUAGUAUAUUGAAACCUAAUCACCAAGGUGAUGCUGUUAGAAGGUGAGGCCUUUGCUUAGGCCGUGAAAGUUCGGUCCUUGUGAAUGGAAUUAAUGCCCUCAUAAAAGGGCUGGAGGGAGCAAGCUGGGCUUUUUUGCCCUCUGCCCAACACAUGAGGACACAGUGUUCGUCCCCUCUGGAGGACACAGCAGCAAGGAAGCAGAGGCCAAGCGCUUACCAGACACUGAAACUGCUGGUGCCUCGAUCUUGGACUUCCCAAACUAUGAGGUAUAAAUUUCUGUUCUUUAUAAAUUAUCCAAUACCAGGUAUGUUGUGAUGGCAACACGAAUGGAGUGACACAGAUGCCUCCUGACUCAUGGAGACUCAGGGAUUCACUGUGAACACAUCACUCAAGCAGGAUUCCUGCCAAAAAUGUGGGCCCUGAAUCUAAUAUAAAAGCAUGUCAUGCAAAAUUAAAUUGGGGGCCAUUCUUUAAAAGAAGUGGCCUGUAUUCUUCAUAACUACCAGGAUCUUUAAG